This 234-nucleotide ribosomal RNA is filed under the name uncultured bacterium. RNAcentral's name for it is "partial 16S ribosomal RNA". It matches the Rfam family "Bacterial small subunit ribosomal RNA", at positions 116 to 334 of the family's 1533-position model. The record is from RNAcentral.
CGUGGGUAAUCUACCCUCAGGUUCGGGACAACUCCGGGAAACUGGAGCUAAUACCGGAUAAGCCCCCAGGGUUUUCGGACCCAGUGGGAAAAGGUGGCCUCUUCAUGAAUGCUGCCGCCUGCUGAUGAGCCCGCGUCCCAUUAGCUUGUUGGUGAGGUAACGGCUCACCAAGGCUUCGAUGGGUAGCUGGUCUGAGAGGAUGAUCAGCCACACUGGAACUGAGACACGGUCCAG